CCGUAAUCGGAAUGAGUACACUUUAAAUCCUUUAACAAGGAUCUAUUGGAGGGCAAGUCUGGUGCCAGCAGCCGCGGUAAUUCCAGCUCCAAUAGCGUAUAUUAAAGUUGUUGCGGUUAAAAAGCUCGUAGUUGGUUCUGCGUGCCGCGCUGUCGGUUUGCCGCCUGUCGGUGUAACUGGCAUGUCGCGGUAUGUCCUGUCGGUGGUGAAUGUAAUGGCAACGGUGCCAGGGUAUGCUUUAUCAAAAGUAUACGCGGGUUAACUUGUUGUUCAAUUACAUUUGCCGUUUUUUCCUACUCCGGUGCUCUUAAACGAGUGUCGAGGUAGGCCGACACGUUCACUUUGAACAAAUUAGAGUGCUUAAAGCAGGCUGAAAUAUCUGCCUGAAUAGUGGUGCAUGGAAUGAUAGAAUAGGACCUCGGUUCUAUUUUAUUGGUUUUAGGAAUAUGAGGUAAUGAUCAAUGUGGACUGGCGGGGGCAUUCGUAUUGCGACGUUAGAGGUGAAAUUCUUGGAUCGUCGCAAGACGCACUAGAGCGAAAGCAUUUGCCAAGUAUGUCUUAAUUGAUCAAGAACGAAAGUUAGAGGUUCGAAGGCGAUCAGAUACCGCCCUAGUUCUAACCAUAAACGAUGCCAGCCAGCGAUCCGCCGAUGUUCCUUUAAUGACUCGGCGGGGAGCUUCUACCCGGGAAACCAAAGCUUUUGGGUUCCGGGGGAAGUAUGGUUGCAAAGCUGAAACUUAAAGGAAUUGACGGAAGG
This 757-nucleotide ribosomal RNA is filed under the name Opistoplatys sp. MF-2016. Its description in RNAcentral is "bacterial SSU rRNA". It matches the Rfam family "Eukaryotic small subunit ribosomal RNA", at positions 503 to 1163 of the family's 1831-position model. Lineage: Eukaryota; Metazoa; Arthropoda; Insecta; Hemiptera; Reduviidae. The record is from RNAcentral.